This 833-nucleotide ribosomal RNA is filed under the name Levilactobacillus brevis. RNAcentral describes it as "bacterial SSU rRNA". It matches the Rfam family "Bacterial small subunit ribosomal RNA", at positions 35 to 858 of the family's 1533-position model. The record is from RNAcentral. Lineage: Bacteria; Bacillati; Bacillota; Bacilli; Lactobacillales; Lactobacillaceae.
GCAGUCGACGAGCUUCCGUUGAUGACGUGCUUGCACUGAUUUCAACAAUGAAGCGAGUGGCGAACUGGUGAGUAACACGUGGGGAAUCUGCCCAGAAGCAGGGGAUAACACUUGGAAACAGGUGCUAAUACCGUAUAACAACAAAAUCCGCAUGGAUUUUGUUUGAAAGGUGGCUUCGGCUAUCACUUCUGGAUGAUCCCGCGGCGUAUUAGUUAGUUGGUGAGGUAAAGGCCCACCAAGACGAUGAUACGUAGCCGACCUGAGAGGGUAAUCGGCCACAUUGGGACUGAGACACGGCCCAAACUCCUACGGGAGGCAGCAGUAGGGAAUCUUCCACAAUGGACGAAAGUCUGAUGGAGCAAUGCCGCGUGAGUGAAGAAGGGUUUCGGCUCGUAAAACUCUGUUGUUAAAGAAGAACACCUUUGAGAGUAACUGUUCAAGGGUUGACGGUAUUUAACCAGAAAGCCACGGCUAACUACGUGCCAGCAGCCGCGGUAAUACGUAGGUGGCAAGCGUUGUCCGGAUUUAUUGGGCGUAAAGCGAGCGCAGGCGGUUUUUUAAGUCUGAUGUGAAAGCCUUCGGCUUAACCGGAGAAGUGCAUCGGACACUGGGAGACUUGAGUGCAGAAGAGGACAGUGGAACUCCAUGUGUAGCGGUGGAAUGCGUAGAUAUAUGGAAGAACACCAGUGGCGAAAGCGGCUGUCUAGUCUGUAACUGACGCUGAGGCUCGAAAGCAUGGGGUAGCGAACAGGAUUAGAUACCCUGGUAGUCCAUGCCGUAACGAUGAGUGCUAAGUGUUGGAGGUUUCCGCCCUUCAGUGCUGCAGCUAACGC